UGUUCAAUUUCAGGAAAAAGUUUGAUAUUUAAUAACCGUACCCAAAACCGACACUGGUGAACAAGUCGAAUAGACUCAGGCGUUGAGAUAACCAUGCUGAAGGAACUCGGCAAAAUAUUCCCGUACCUUAGGAAGAAGGGAAACCAAAUAUUGGUGACACAAAAAUGAGGGUGACGACUUUUUACUAAAAAAUUAGGACUCUGCAAAAUGGUAACAUGAAGUAUAGGGUCUGACGUCUGCCCGGUGCUAGAAGCUUAAGAGGAGAGUUGAAAGAUUUGAAUUCAAGGCCUAGUAAACGGCGGUUGUAACUAUAACAAUCAUAAAGUAGCGAAAUUCCUUGCCAGCUAAUUCCUGGCCUGCAUGAAAGACGUAACGAUUGCCCUACUGUCUCCAGCAUGGACUCAGUGAAAUUGAAUUUUCCGUGAAGAUGCGGAAAUCGUGCCCCAAGACGAGAAGACCCUAUGCAUCUUUACUGUACAUUUACAUUGAACAAAGAACUUAAGUAUGUAGGAAAGGUGGGAGUGCUUACAUCCUUGAAAUACCACCUUCUUGAGUUCUUCAUUCUUAUUUGCAUGGCAAAAAAAGUGUAUAUGAGGCAGUUUGACUGGGGCGGUCGCCUCCUAAAGAGUAACGGAGGCGUACGAAGGUAAACUCAAUGAAAGUUGGAAACUUUCUGAAGAAUGUAAUGGUAAAAGUUUGCCUGACUGCAAGACUCAACAAGUCGAGCAGAGACGAAAGUCGGUCAUAGUGAUCCAAAAGUACCGCGUGGAAGGGCUUUUGCUUAACGAAUCAAAGAUACGCUAGGGAUAACAGGCUAAUAAUUCCCAAGAGUCCUUAUCGACGGAAUUGUUUGGCACCUCGAUGUUGACUGAUCAUAUCCUGGGGCUGAAGAAGGUCCCAAGGGUUCGGCUGUUCGCCGAUGAAAAUGGUACCUGAGUUGAGUUUAGAACGUCGUGAGACAGUUUGGAUUCUACCUGGGGUGCGCGUAAGAAUUGAGAAAACUACUUCUUUGUACGAGAGGACCGGAAGUAUUCAACCUCUGGUGGACUGGUUGUUAAGCCAUUAGCAUUGCCAGGAAGCUACGUUGAGACAGGAGAACCGUUGAAAGCAUAUGAAACGGGAAACUUUUUUCAAGACAAAUUCUUUUUUUUCGUGAAAGAUUCUCACGUUGAUAGGCGAAAUGUGUACAAUUUGUAAAAAUUCUAGCU
RNAcentral lists this ribosomal RNA (1208 nucleotides) under Ostreococcus mediterraneus. Its description in RNAcentral is "partial Bacterial large subunit ribosomal RNA". It matches the Rfam family "Bacterial large subunit ribosomal RNA", at positions 1599 to 2892 of the family's 2925-position model. The record is from RNAcentral. Lineage: Eukaryota; Viridiplantae; Chlorophyta; Mamiellophyceae; Mamiellales; Bathycoccaceae.